AUACGGAGGGUGCAAGCGUUAAUCGGAAUUACUGGGCGUAAAGCGUACGUAGGCGGUUAUUUAAGUCAGAUGUGAAAGCCCCGGGCUUAACUUGGGAACUGCAUUUGAAACUGGGUAACUAGAGUUUAUUAGAGGGGAGUGGAAUUUCAGGUGUAGCGGUGAAAUGCGUAGAGAUCUGAAGGAACACCAGUGGCGAAGGCGACUCCCUGGACUAAAACUGACGCUGAGGUACGAAAGCGUGGGUAGCAAACAGGAUUAGAAACCCUAGUAGUCC
Molecule: ribosomal RNA, 274 nt
Filed under: uncultured bacterium
Lineage: Bacteria
Description: partial 16S ribosomal RNA
Rfam family: Bacterial small subunit ribosomal RNA
Source: RNAcentral